AGGUCCGCCUCCUGCCAUCCUGAGAGUGGGGGGUAGACAGAAGGGUCUCUGAUGGGCAGGGAGAGGUGCCAGGGUACUGAGUCAGCCCAGGACAACGCCUCUCUGUCCCAGUCAGAGCCCUGGCAUGAGAAGUUCUGAUUCCUGUUGGGGGCAUUAGCUUCACCCCAUCUCUGCCUCCAGCACCCAGAGUGGCCACAGAUGGCAGUGUCUCUGGGGACAGGAGCUGCGACUGAAUCCCGGGGCCGACACUGAGCUGCUCAGGCUGAGACGGUGUGCUCGGCGCAGAGCCCCCGGCACAGGCAUCUGCAGGGCGUGAGCCAAAGCCGCCGCGAUGCUGCACUUUCUGGACUGGUUCGUGCCUGUCUAUCUGGUCAUCUCUGUCCUCAUCCUGGUGGGCUUCGGUGCCUGCAUCUACUACUUUGAGCCGGGACUGCAAGAGGCACACAAGUGGCGCAUGCAGCGCCCCCUGGUGGACCGUGACCUCCGCAAGACGCUGAUGGUGCGGGACAACCUGGCCUUCGGUGGCCCCGAGGUCUGAGCUCUGAGCCCGUGUGUUGGAGGUGGGAGGCGCUGGUGCCCGGUGCCCUCUUCCUCCCCACUCUCCCCCAACCCUGGAGACCCUCUAGGAGGGGAAGGACGAUCCCUUGGUCUCAGGCUUGACUCAGGCUUGAGUGUCAAAGCAUGUGUGGUGGGUGGGUGGCUGGUGUGCAGACGGGUUAAGAGGGCAGGAAAGCAGGGGUGUGUGUGUGUUUGCACGUGUGAGGCCCGGGCAGUGGUGUGAGGACUGUGCUCGGUGGGUCCCACCUCUCUGCUGGCCUUUCCUUCCCCUUCCCCUAGGCUGAGGUGGUGGGCAGAGCCCCUGCCUGCCCUCCAGCCCUGUCUCAUGCUGCACUUCCAGGGUUGAGCCCAGGCCCUCUGAGCCAGAUCUUGACCCCAAAUCCCCCAAGCCCACCCUGGAGCCCUCCAGCUGUGUGUAGCCUUCAAGGCUUGAUUUGGACAGAGUGGUAACCUGCCUCACUCCUCCCCUGGGGGCUUCGGUCUUCAUUUAUUUGCAAUAAUAAAAACUUCCUGACCAU
Molecule: non-coding RNA, 1076 nt
Organism: Heterocephalus glaber (naked mole-rat)
Lineage: Eukaryota; Metazoa; Chordata; Mammalia; Rodentia; Bathyergidae
Source: RefSeq, a predicted model, not a curated record